Long non-coding RNA from Agrilus planipennis (emerald ash borer), 194 nucleotides. RefSeq lists it as uncharacterized. The transcript has 2 exons. NCBI's taxonomy places the organism in Eukaryota, Metazoa, Arthropoda, Insecta, Coleoptera, Buprestidae. The record is from RefSeq and is a predicted model, not a curated record.
CCAGUAAUGGAGAAAGAAAAAAAAAGGCGUAAGGAGUCUUUGACGGAAAAUGAAAAAUUAAAUCGGAUGUUAGUAUACAAACGUAUGUUUCGGGCAGAGGUGAGAAAAGUGAUUGCCAAUCGAUAUUGGUUGGAAGAGAUGGACGAACGAAAAAUACUGGGCGACAAUGUCAAACAAAAUUUUCUUUUAAUUAC